UACGAGUGCCCCGAGCGUUAUCCGGAAUCAUUGGGCGUAAAGGGUGUGUAGGCGGUUGUGUUAGUCUUCUGUCAAAUUCUUCGGCUUAACCGGGGGCAUGCAGGGGAAACGGCACAACUAGAGGAUGCGAGAGGUGAAUGGAACUCAUGGAGUAGGGGUGAAAUCCGUUGAUAUCAUGGGGAACACCGAAAGCGAAGGCAAUUCACUGGCGCACUCCUGACGCUGAGACACGAAAGCGUAGGUAGCGAAUGGG
This 253-nucleotide ribosomal RNA is filed under the name uncultured bacterium. Its description in RNAcentral is "partial 16S ribosomal RNA". It matches the Rfam family "Bacterial small subunit ribosomal RNA", at positions 524 to 776 of the family's 1533-position model. The record is from RNAcentral.